Molecule: ribosomal RNA, 775 nt
Filed under: uncultured Neocallimastigales
Lineage: Eukaryota; Fungi; Neocallimastigomycota; Neocallimastigomycetes; Neocallimastigales
Description: partial large subunit ribosomal RNA
Rfam family: Eukaryotic large subunit ribosomal RNA
Source: RNAcentral
GUACACGCUGUGACUAGCAUAUCAAUAAGCGGAGGAAAAGAAACUAACAAGGAUUCCCCUAGUAACGGCGAGUGAAGCGGGAAGAGCUCAAAUUUGAAAUCUUAAAGGGUUUCCCUUUACGAAUUGUAGUUUAAAGAAGUGUUUUCUGUUGAGGUUUUGGUAAAAGUUCUUUGGAAUAGGACAUCAUAGAGGGUGAGAAUCCCGUAUUUGACCUUUACUUUCAACUUUGUGAUACACUUUCAAAGAGUCGGAUUGUUUGGGAAUGCAGUCCAAAAUGGGUGGUAAAUUUCAUCUAAAGCUAAAUAUUGGCGAGAGACCGAUAGCGAACAAGUACCGUGAGGGAAAGAUGAAAAGAACUUUGAAAAGAGAGUUAAACAGUACGUGAAAUUGUCAAAAGGGAAGCGUUUGACACCAGUGUUGUUUUUCUGAAAAUCAAUUAAAGAACUGUUUAUGCUAAGUUGUUUAGACUUUAUCAGCUAACUGUUUAGUUUUGAGCUUUUCUUUAAUGCACUUUUCAGUUAACAAGUCAACAUCAAUUUCUUUUGCUGUAAAAAAGCUUGAGGAAGGUGGCUUGAGAUUCGUCUUAAGUGUUUAUAGCCUCUUGCCUAUGCAGUCGGAGAGAUUGAGGUCUGCAGCGUAGAUCCUUCGGGGCUAAAUGCAUUUGUGCUAAGCUAUAGCAUUUUAUAGACAACUUGUUGACUAUGAUUUGUCUUGUAGCUUACUCGCUUUAUGUUAUUUUACCUACGCUUAGGAUGUUGAUAUGCAUGACUGAUAU